This 73-nucleotide transfer RNA is filed under the name Astrapogon alutus (bronze cardinalfish). RNAcentral describes it as "tRNA-Pro". It matches the Rfam family "tRNA". From Rfam's summary of the family: Transfer RNA (tRNA) molecules are approximately 80 nucleotides in length. Their secondary structure includes four short double-helical elements and three loops (D, anti-codon, and T loops). Lineage: Eukaryota; Metazoa; Chordata; Actinopteri; Kurtiformes; Apogonidae. RNAcentral also lists the same sequence under 1 other name. The record is from RNAcentral.
CAAAGAGUAGUUUAAUCUGUUAGAAUCCUGGCUUUGGGAGUCAGGGGUGAGAGUUAGAGUCUCUUCUCUUUGA